GAUGAACGCUGGCGGCGUGCCUAAUACAUGCAAGUCGAGCGAACGGACGAGAAGCUUGCUUCUCUGAUGUUAGCGGCGGACGGGUGAGUAACACGUGGAUAACCUACCUAUAAGACUGGUAUAACUUCGGGAAACCGGCGCUAAUACCGGAUAAUAUUUUGAACCGCAUGGUUCAAAAGUGAAAGACGGUCUUGCUGUCACUUAUCGAUGGAUCCGCGCUGCAUUAGAUAGUUGUUAAGGUAACGGCUUACCAAGGCAACGAGGCAUAGCCGACCUGAGAGAGGGAUAGCCCACCUGGGAACGGAGACAGGGUCAAGACGCCUAAGGGAGGCAGCAGUAGGGAAUGGGACGCAAUGGGCGAAAGCAUGACGGAGCAACGCGGCGUGAGUGAUGAAGGUCUUCGGAGCGGAAAACUCUGUUAUGAGGGAAGAACAGAUGUGGAAGUAACUGUGCAGAGCGUGACGGUACCUAAUCAGAAAGCCACGGCUAACUACGUG
RNAcentral lists this ribosomal RNA (497 nucleotides) under uncultured bacterium. Its description in RNAcentral is "partial 16S ribosomal RNA". It matches the Rfam family "Bacterial small subunit ribosomal RNA", at positions 28 to 507 of the family's 1533-position model. The record is from RNAcentral.